Long non-coding RNA from Haliotis rubra (blacklip abalone), 101 nucleotides. RefSeq lists it as uncharacterized. Lineage: Eukaryota; Metazoa; Mollusca; Gastropoda; Lepetellida; Haliotidae. The record is from RefSeq and is a predicted model, not a curated record. The transcript has 4 exons.
UUUCAACUAUCUAAAAAGCUUCAAAGGCAUAUUGCCGUCAAUGAUUCUCUUCUAGAUAAUACUAAUUACUUACAAGUCAACGUAAUAAACCAAAAUAAUGA